CCUAGUGGACUCCCAGGAGAGAGGGGUGCUGCUGGCAUACCUGGAGGCAAGGGAGAAAAGGGUGAACCUGGUCUCAGAGGUGAAAUUGGUAACCCUGGCAGAGAUGGUGCUCGUGGUGCUCCUGGUGCUGUAGGUGCCCCUGGUCCUGCUGGAGCCACAGGUGACCGGGGCGAAGCUGGUGCUGCUGGUCCUGCUGGUCCUGCUGGUCCUCGGGGAAGCCCUGGUGAACGUGGUGAGGUCGGUCCUGCUGGCCCCAAUGGAUUUGCUGGUCCCGCUGGUGCUGCUGGUCAACCUGGUGCUAAAGGAGAAAGAGGAACCAAAGGGCCUAAGGGUGAAAACGGUGUUGUUGGUCCCACAGGCCCCGUUGGAGCUGCUGGCCCAGCUGGUCCAAACGGUCCCCCCGGUCCUGCUGGAAGUCGUGGUGAUGGAGGCCCCCCUGUGAGUAUUUACAAUGGACUCUCGCCACUUUUCUUUCUUCAGAAUCUGUUAAGGACACUUGAAAGUUUUGAAAUUUUUGGUAAAUUUGGACUACCAUGAGGAAACUUUUGAGAUUCAAGUUCAUUCUAUUCAGAGCAAUUCCAAUAUUGAUGUUAACUUGAACUCAGCUGGAACUCAGUGUAUGUUGCUAUCACCUCACUUGAGAUAAUAACCAAGGUGGGCCCUAGGCAGUUUAAUUGUAAAGUCAGAAAAAAUAUUUCUUUGGCGUCUUUCAUCUGUUUAUUAAUAUGCCCCUUCUUCUGCCUGACCACGUCCUUCCCCUUUGCAGGCAAUGCUAUCACAACAAUU
Molecule: small RNA, 786 nt
Filed under: Pongo abelii (Sumatran orangutan)
Lineage: Eukaryota; Metazoa; Chordata; Mammalia; Primates; Hominidae
Description: retained intron
Source: RNAcentral